AGUGAACGCUGGCGGUAGGCCUAACACAUGCAAGUCGAACGGCAGCACAGUAAGAGCUUGCUCUUACGGGUGGCGAGUGGCGGACGGGUGAGGAAUACAUCGGAAUCUACUUUUUCGUGGGGGAUAACGUAGGUAAACUUACUCUAAUACCGCAUACGACCUACGGGUGAAAGCAGUGGAUCUUCGGACCUUGCGCGAUUGAAUGAGCCGAUGUCGGAUUAGCUAGUUGGCGGGGUAAAGGCCCACCAAGGCGACGAUCCGUAGCUGGUCUGAGAGGAUGAUCAGCCACACUGGAACUGAGACACGGUCCAGACUCCUACGGGAGGCAGCAGUGGGGAAUAUUGGACAAUGGGCGCAAGCCUGAUCCAGCCAUACCGCGUGGGUGAAGAAGGCCUUCGGGUUGGAAAGCCCUUUUGUUGGGAAAGAAAAGCAGCAGGUUAAUACCCCGCUGUUCUGACGGUACCCAAAGAAUAAGCACCGGCUAACUUCGUG
Molecule: ribosomal RNA, 492 nt
Filed under: uncultured bacterium
Lineage: Bacteria
Description: partial 16S ribosomal RNA
Rfam family: Bacterial small subunit ribosomal RNA
Source: RNAcentral